This 103-nucleotide ribosomal RNA is filed under the name uncultured bacterium. Its description in RNAcentral is "partial 16S ribosomal RNA". It matches the Rfam family "Bacterial small subunit ribosomal RNA", at positions 1379 to 1482 of the family's 1533-position model. The record is from RNAcentral.
CCUUGUACACACCGCCCGUCACACCAUGGGGGUUGGUUCUACCUUAAGUGGCUGCGGCAACCGCAAGGGCUAGGUCACCACGGCAGGGUCAGCGACUGGGGUG